UCAACGGCCCUUUUCAGGGCCACCAAUCUAUAUCACUUAAUUUAUA
Rhodnius prolixus is the source of this 46-nucleotide non-coding RNA. The record is from Rfam. NCBI's taxonomy places the organism in Eukaryota, Metazoa, Arthropoda, Insecta, Hemiptera, Reduviidae.